GAGAGUUUGAUCCUGGCUCAGGAUGAACGCUAGCUACAGGCUUAACACAUGCAAGUCGAGGGGCAGCAUGGUCUUAGCUUGCUAAGGCCGAUGGCGACCGGCGCACGGGUGAGUAACGCGUAUCCAACCUGCCUUACACUCUUGGACAGCCUUCUGAAAGGGAGAUUAAUACAAGAUGUUAUCAUGAGUAAGCAUUUUCACAUGAUUAAAGGUUUACCGGUGUAAGAUGGGGAUGCGUUCCAUUAGAUAGUAGGCGGGGUAACGGCCCACCUAGUCUUCGAUGGAUAGGGGUUCUGAGAGGAAGGUCCCCCACAUUGGAACUGAGACACGGUCCAAACUCCUACGGGAGGCAGCAGUGAGGAAUAUUGGUCAAUGGACGAGAGUCUGAACCAGCCAAGUAGCGUGAAGGAUGAAGGUUCUAUGGAUUGUAAACUUCUUUUAUACGGGAAUAAACGAAUCCACGUGUGGAUUUUUGCAUGUACCGUAUGAAUAAGGAUCGGCUAACUCCGUGCCAGCAGCCGCGGUAAUACGGAGGAUCCGAACGUUAUCCGGAUUUAUUGGGUUUAAAGGGAGCGUAGAUGGGUUGUUAAGUCAGUUGUGAAAGUUUGCGGCUCAACCGUAAAAUUGCAAUUGAUACUGGCAGUCUUGAGUACAGUUGAGGUAGGCGGAAUUCGUGGUGUAGCGGUGAAAUGCUUAGAUAUCACGAAGAACUCCGAUUGCGAAGGCAGCUUACUAACCUGUAACUGACAUUGAUGCUCGAAAGUGUGGGUAUCAAACAGGAUUAGAUACCCUGGUAGUCCACACGGUAAACGAUGAAUACUCGCUGUAGGCGAUAUACAGUCUGCGGCCAAGCGAAAGCAUUAAGUAUUCCACCUGGGGAGUACGCCGGCAACGGUGAAACUCAAAGGAAUUGACGGGGGCCCGCACAAGCGGAGGAACAUGUGGUUUAAUUCGAUGAUACGCGAGGAACCUUACCUGGGCUUAAAUUGCAACCGAAUAUGGCGGAAACGCUAUAGCUAGCAAUAGCGGUUGUGAAGGUGCUGCAUGGUUGUCGUCAGCUCGUGCCGUGAGGUGUCGGCUUAAGUGCCAUAACGAGCGCAACCCUUGCCGAUAGUUACUAACAGGUUAUGCUGAGGACUCUGUCGGGACUGCCAUCGUAAGAUGUGAGGAAGGUGGGGAUGACGUCAAAUCAGCACGGCCCUUACGUCCGGGGCUACACACGUGUUACAAUGGGGGGUACAGAGGGCUGCUACCACGCAAGUGGAUGCCAAUCCCAAAAACCUCUCUCAGUUCGGAUUGAAGUCUGCAACCCGACUUCAUGAAGCUGGAUUCGCUAGUAAUCGCGCAUCAGCCACGGCGCGGUGAAUACGUUCCCGGGCCUUGUACACACCGCCCGUCAAGCCAUGGGAGCCGGGGGUACCUGAAGUGCGUAACCGCAAGGAGCGCCCUAGGGUAAAACUGGUGACUGGGGCUAAGUCGUAACAAGGUAGCCG
RNAcentral lists this ribosomal RNA (1493 nucleotides) under uncultured bacterium. Its description in RNAcentral is "bacterial SSU rRNA". It matches the Rfam family "Bacterial small subunit ribosomal RNA". The record is from RNAcentral.